UUAANCACUACGAUCAUUUGAUUAAAACUUAAAGAGCAUGGCGGUCAUAAGAAAAUUUAGGGGAACUUACCAAGUAAUUGAUAACCCACAAGGUCCUCUUCUUAACCUUAAAGUUUGUAUACCGCCGUCUAGGCGUCUUCGAAGAAAAUGCCAAAAUAAUCUCCUAUUAGAAAGACAGGUCAGGGUGCAGCUAAUGGUUAAGUUUUAGGCGAGUUACAUUGAUAUUUAAUUUUUCGAGAGAAAUUCAAAAAUUUUUCAAGAAGUGGACUUAAAAGUAAUGUUUACAUAAAAAUACAACUUGAAUUAACUUAACGCUUAUGGUGC
This 324-nucleotide ribosomal RNA is filed under the name Wallaconchis graniferus. Its description in RNAcentral is "partial 12S ribosomal RNA". Lineage: Eukaryota; Metazoa; Mollusca; Gastropoda; Systellommatophora; Onchidiidae. The record is from RNAcentral.